UACGAACUGUGCAAACGUUAUUCGGAUUCACUGGGCUUAAAGGGUGCGUAGGCGGCCAUGUAAGUAGGGUGUGAAAUCCCCCGGCUUAACCGGGGAACUGCGCCCUAAACUGUAUGGCUGGAGUGAGAUAGGGGUGUGUGGAACUUCCGGUGGAGCGGUGAAAUGUGUUGAUAUCGGAAGGAACACCAGUGGCGAAGGCGGCUCACUGGACCGGUACUGACGCUGAGGCGCGAAAGCGUGGGGAGCAAACGGG
Molecule: ribosomal RNA, 253 nt
Filed under: uncultured bacterium
Lineage: Bacteria
Description: partial 16S ribosomal RNA
Rfam family: Bacterial small subunit ribosomal RNA
Source: RNAcentral